RNAcentral lists this transfer RNA (72 nucleotides) under Candidatus Poribacteria bacterium. Its description in RNAcentral is "tRNA-Gly". It matches the Rfam family "tRNA". From Rfam's summary of the family: Transfer RNA (tRNA) molecules are approximately 80 nucleotides in length. The record is from RNAcentral. Lineage: Bacteria; Candidatus Poribacteria.
GCGGGAGUAGCUCAGCGGUAGAGUCCUACCUUGCCAAGGUAGUUGUCGCGGGUUCAAAUCCCGUCUCCCGCU